Molecule: long non-coding RNA, 1063 nt
Organism: Hibiscus syriacus
Lineage: Eukaryota; Viridiplantae; Streptophyta; Magnoliopsida; Malvales; Malvaceae
Exons: 4
Source: RefSeq, a predicted model, not a curated record
AAGUGCUCCGCUGUUGGUCAUGCUGGAAUUGGUAAUGAUUUUAUGGAUAUGUGAAUACUUCAAAACCUGGUUCAGCUGGCAGUGAGAAUGGGAACCAGAUAAUGAGCGUCCUAAACUGAAUUUGAAGCCUCGUUCACAGCCACUGAUCAAUUGGAGGGUAACAUCGGGAAAGAAAGAAAUGUGUGUUUGGUGGUGCUUGUCCACGAGAAAUGGUUCGGAAGGAGAGAGGGAUUGAUGACAGCAGCCAUGAGCUGGGCCAACAACCUGAUAGGGUCAAAUAAUGUUAUGAGGAGUGAAAAGUUUGCUGAGCAAGCAGCUCCUCGCCAUGGUGAAAGAGUGAGAUCCUUAUGUUGAUCAGAGAGCUGGAAGAAAUCUGAGAGGAACUACAGCGUUCACAAUGAAAGAGUUGAUAUGCAUAGGAGGAGCUGGGUAAGGAAACUGCAGAAUGACAGGGAAACUGAAAGACAACAGCAACAGCAGCAGGAGGCAGCCUUCACCUGAAACCUGGUGUAAGCCUGCUGAGAAGCCUCAACUAGUCUCUCCUGAAGCUGGUGUGCGCUAUGGAAAAGCAGCAUCAGCAUUGGAGCUUGCUCAAGCCUUUUCCAAACCAUUCUCAGAUCAUGAAAGAGAUAAUCAGCAUGUUGGGCAAAAGGUUCUUCCCGGCCAUGCCCCAAUGCCUUUUUCUCGGCUGAUGGUCCACUCCAAGGCCUCAGAAAUGGCUACUAAAGUUUGAGAGGGUUGUUGCCUUAACAGGAGUCCAUUGUGUCACCCUAACUGCCUAAAUGGUUUUAGAAUGUCAGUGGUUGCAGUUGUGUUAUGACUAAUGAUUUCACGCAGUUGAUCUGUUUUUCCUUUUUUUUAAUUUAAAAGAAACUUUAUAACAAAUGGCAUUCCAAAUCAAUUGCAACGCCCUUUCAUUUUUUUUUUUCAAGUGAUUCACAAUCUCUUGCUACUUUUAUUUCAAUACUCGGCUAACCUGGCUGAAAUAGCUGUAUGCUAAGCACUCUGAAGGAAAAUGUUAGUAACGUGAAAACAUACCAAGCUUGUCAGAUUUAUUGGUACU